AAACUUUACAAUGCUGGAAACAGCGAUAAGGGAACCUCGAGUGCCUCGAUACAAUCGAGGCUGUCGUUCUGUCUAAAAAACAGGAUAUAGCAAGGGCCGGGCAAGACCGGUGCCAGCCGCCGCGGUAACACCGGCGGCUCGAGUGGUAACCGCUAUUAUUGGGUCUAAAGGGUCUGUAGCCGGCCCUGUGAGUCUCUUGGGAAAUCCGGCAGCUCAACUGUCGGGCUAUCAGGGGAUACUGCAGGGCUCGAGACCGGGAGAGGUGAGAGGUACUUCAGGGGUAGGGGUGAAAUCUUGUAAUCCUUGAAGGACCACCAGUGGCGAAGGCGUCUCACCAGAACGGAUCUGACGGCAAGGGACGAAAGCUAGGGGCACGAACCGG
RNAcentral lists this ribosomal RNA (382 nucleotides) under uncultured archaeon. RNAcentral describes it as "bacterial SSU rRNA". It matches the Rfam family "Archaeal small subunit ribosomal RNA", at positions 345 to 727 of the family's 1478-position model. The record is from RNAcentral.